AUACCUUUCUCGGCCUUUUGGCUAAGAUCAAGUGUAGUAUCUGUUCUUAUCAGUUUAAUAUCUGAUACGUGGGCCAUUGGUCCACAUGAUAUUAAAUUAAUUUUUUAAGGGGAGAGCUCGACACAGUAGCUUGCUACUGGGGUUCAGGAGCGUCGCCCAUGCGUUGCACUACAGCAAGGGCCCGGCGCACCCUCC
RNAcentral lists this small nuclear RNA (195 nucleotides) under Manihot esculenta (cassava). RNAcentral describes it as "U2 spliceosomal RNA". It matches the Rfam family "U2 spliceosomal RNA". From Rfam's summary of the family: U2 is a small nuclear RNA (snRNA) component of the spliceosome (involved in pre-mRNA splicing). Complementary binding between U2 snRNA (in an area lying towards the 5' end but 3' to hairpin I) and the branchpoint sequence (BPS) of the intron results the bulging out of an unpaired adenosine, on the BPS, which initiates a nucleophilic attack at the intronic 5' splice site, thus starting the first of two transesterification reactions that mediate splicing. The record is from Rfam by way of RNAcentral. Lineage: Eukaryota; Viridiplantae; Streptophyta; Magnoliopsida; Malpighiales; Euphorbiaceae.